This 369-nucleotide ribosomal RNA is filed under the name uncultured eukaryote. RNAcentral's name for it is "partial 18S ribosomal RNA". It matches the Rfam family "Eukaryotic small subunit ribosomal RNA", at positions 592 to 975 of the family's 1831-position model. The record is from RNAcentral.
CAAUAGCGUAUAUUAAAGUUGUUGCAGUUAAAAAGCUCGUAGCUGGAUUUCUGGUCGGAAGCUCCAGUCCUCUGAUGAGCGUACAAGUGCGUCCUACCAUCCUUCUGUUAACCUUUAAGGCUUUCGCGGCUUUCUAGGGGCUCAGAUAUUUUACCUUGAGAAAAUUAGAGUGUUUCAGGCAGGCUAGCGCCGGAAUACAUUAGCAUGGAAUAAUGGAAUAGGACUUUUGCCUCUUCUGUUGGUCAUGAGGCUCGAGUAAUGAUUAAUAGGGAUAGUUGGGGGCAUUAGUACUUAACUGUCAGAGGUGAAAUUCUCGGAUUUGUUAAAGACUAACUUAUGCGAAAGCAUUUGCCAAGGAUGUUUUCAUUA